UUCAGUAUGAAGUGCAGAGCUGCGUUUGGAGAGAGCCAUAGGACGCGCUACCAACAUCAGGCUAAUGGAACGUGAAGUAUGGACUUUUUGACCGAAAAUACAUCUGUUGUGGACCUGGGAUGCUUUCUGAUGAAGACAACUAAAGCAUCAGUAGAACACGCCUGAGUCUCCUCCACCAGUCAUACAAGGAGAAUGUUCUAAUGCCUCCCAUUAAAGAGUGCUUGCAUGGGCCAGCUCAGGUUACACUUGAAGCGUGAGGACUUGCAGCGAGUGGUGAACUUCAUCAACAACUACGCAGAGGAUAAUGCAAUAGUAUUACCUGGACGCCACCCAGGACACAAACACUUCGGUGGAAAGCUUCUGCCAUCCCAUGUGGCAAAAGCAGCAGUGUGGUGUCUCUACAAGGAAUCGAUGACAACACUUGCAAACAGUCUGGACCUUCAUUUCCUGAUCACAGGCCACACCAAGUUUUCCCACGACUGGUGCUUCGGCCUCAUCAAGCAACGCUUCAGAAAGACCAGAGUGAAGACUUUGUCAGAGAUUGCUGGUGUUUUGAAGGACAGCACUGUGACAGGGGUCAACAUCCCAAAGCUGGUUGGACUGGAGGAUGAUACAGUGUUGGUGGAAGGCUAUGGCUGGCAACAACAGCUGACUCCGUACUUCAGGCCGCUGCCACAGAUCAAGCAGUACCAGCACUUCAGCUUCAAUGCUCUGGAGCCUGUUGUUGUUGUCGCCAAAGAGCGUUCGGACUGUCAGGAACAGGUUUCAGCUGUUGCGCAACGGUGACAUCCUUCCUCCCAUAGAUGGUCUGCCGGAACAAGCACCACCUGGACUGGACACAGCUAUGCAAACUUAUCUUUUUGAGAAUAUCAGGGAGCUUUGUGACAAAGAGGCUAUGGGCAUCACAUGCCCUGCACCAAAGUCAAGGACAGGACAGAAACAGGCUCUCCGAAUAUACAUUCCCUUGUUCAUGCGGGGAUUGGACGGACCAGUCAUCAGCACUAUCUGCAGUGCCUCAUUUCAAAUGACUCUCUCCUAACACACACGCCAUAAGUUCCUGGUGCUAUUUUUUUUUAUCCUGCUGCUCAGCCACUUUUCCCUUGAUUGUAUGCAUAUAACUACGUCGUCUAGCACUGAUAUCAUUAUUGAUAUUGUUCUUGUACAUACUGUAUAUUAUUUUAUUUAUAUUGACAUUAUUUCUGAUAUUGUUACUAUGCAAGUAACCAUUUGGCUGUACUGUUUACACCUUCUGUAGAGACCAUCCACUUAGCAAGACUUAGCAAAAUAUUGAUAUGUAAAAUGAAUAUUGAUAUGUGUGGUCAUAACAUGUUUUUGUGACAUACCACAACAAUAUAAUGUGACCGUAUCGAGUGUCCACCACAUAAAUAUAUGGUGCAUGCAUCUGUUUAUGUACUGUUCAUGUGCACCUCACUCAGGUUUCAAUUCAGGUUGCAUGGCCUUAACUUAUGUAUGGAAUACUAUGUGAUAAGUGUGUGUGUAACGGUAUAUGAAGUAUGCUAAUGUCCUGGUGUGAAGUCAUUUGGGCAGUGGUGUAAAGUACUUCAGUAAAAAUACAAAUGUUUUUUGGGGGUGGGGGGUAUCUGUACAUUACUUUACUAUUUAUAUUUUUGGCAACUUUUACUUCACUACAUUCCGAAAGAAAAUAAUGUACUUUUUACUCCAUACAUUUUCCAUGACACCCAAAAAGUACUCGUUACAUUUUGACAGGAAAAUUGUCCAAUUCACACACUUAUCAAGAGAACAUCCCUGCUCAUCUCUACUGCAUCUGAUCUUGCAGACUCGCUAAACACAAAUGCUUUGUUUGUAAAUGAUGUCUGAGUGUUGGAGAGUGCCCCUUGCUAUCUUCAAUAAAACAAAUUACAAAAAUAACAAUUGUGCCAUCUGGUUUAAUAUAAGG
RNAcentral lists this long non-coding RNA (1918 nucleotides) under Salmo salar (Atlantic salmon). Its description in RNAcentral is "lncRNA (ENSSSAG00000095522.1)". Lineage: Eukaryota; Metazoa; Chordata; Actinopteri; Salmoniformes; Salmonidae. The record is from RNAcentral.